RNAcentral lists this long non-coding RNA (399 nucleotides) under Vigna radiata. Its description in RNAcentral is "long non-coding RNA (VRAD_LNC017498)". Lineage: Eukaryota; Viridiplantae; Streptophyta; Magnoliopsida; Fabales; Fabaceae. The record is from RNAcentral.
GGUGUUUCCCUAUUGUCACAAUGUCACACGAAUUAAUUUUGCCUUUCAUUUUACCACAAUCAAACAUACUUACAAACAAGUUGUCAUCACAAGGGCUUUUUCAUGGCUUGUAACAUGGCUGGACUAAGAAGGAAAUUGGUUUUUCUGGUCAGCAAAGUUCCUUGAGUUAAGAGAGACAUUUAUGAAUUCAUCUUUCAAUCACAACUCUCUUUUCUUUUUCCCAGCCUUCCCUUGCAGUGAGCUUCUUCUUUUUUUUCUUUUUGAAUUUUUCUUUUCUCACUUUUUCUUUUCUUUUGCCUUUUUCUUGCGUUUUCUUUUGAUUGCUCACUUCCAAGAGAGGUUGUUUGUGUCCUGGUAACCCCAAACUUGAACCUUUAUCAAUACCUCAUCAAAUUUUCC